AUUAAUGAUUUUAAUACUAAAAAGAACAAUGCAAUUAAGUUCUUGAAUAAAGGUAACAAAGUUAAAGUAUCAAUUCGUUUCCGCGGACGUGCUAUCACCCACAAGGAAAUUGGGCGUGAAGUAAUGAAUCGUAUGGCAACGGAGCUUGAGGAAAUUGCUAAAGUUGAAUCAAGAGCUAAGAUGGAAGGGCGCAGCAUGUUUAUGGUGCUUGCACCCAGAGAAACUAAGUAAUUAAACCAGUUUGGAGGACAUAUCAAUGCCUAAGUAUAAGACACACCGCGCUUCAGCAAAGCGUUUCAAGAAAACUGCAAAUGGUGGGUUGAAGUCAGCUAA
RNAcentral lists this unclassified non-coding RNA (333 nucleotides) under Weissella hellenica. RNAcentral's name for it is "Long range pseudoknot". The record is from RNAcentral. Lineage: Bacteria; Bacillati; Bacillota; Bacilli; Lactobacillales; Lactobacillaceae.